RNAcentral lists this transfer RNA (89 nucleotides) under Salmonella enterica subsp. arizonae. RNAcentral describes it as "tRNA-Ser(gga)". It matches the Rfam family "tRNA". Rfam says of the family: Transfer RNA (tRNA) molecules are approximately 80 nucleotides in length. Their secondary structure includes four short double-helical elements and three loops (D, anti-codon, and T loops). Lineage: Bacteria; Pseudomonadati; Pseudomonadota; Gammaproteobacteria; Enterobacterales; Enterobacteriaceae. The record is from RNAcentral.
GGUGAGGUGUCCGAGUGGCUGAAGGAGCACGCCUGGAAAGUGUGUAUUACGGCAACGUAUCGGGGGUUCGAAUCCCCCCCUCACCGCCA